Molecule: ribosomal RNA, 253 nt
Filed under: uncultured bacterium
Lineage: Bacteria
Description: partial 16S ribosomal RNA
Rfam family: Bacterial small subunit ribosomal RNA
Source: RNAcentral
UACGUAGGUGACCAGCGUUGUCCGGAUUUACUGGGCGUAAAGAGCGCGCAGGCGGUCGUUCAAGUCGAGUGUGAAAGCCCCCGGCUCAACUGGGGAGGGUCAUUCGAUACUGAUCGACUUGAAGGCAGGAGAGGGAAGCGGAAUUCCCGGUGUAGUGGUGAAAUGCGUAGAUAUCGGGAGGAACACCAGUGGCGAAGGCGGCUGCCUGGCCUGUUCUUGACGCUGAGGCGCGAAAGCUAGGGGAGCAAACGGG